RNAcentral lists this ribosomal RNA (768 nucleotides) under uncultured bacterium. RNAcentral's name for it is "bacterial SSU rRNA". It matches the Rfam family "Bacterial small subunit ribosomal RNA", at positions 63 to 868 of the family's 1533-position model. The record is from RNAcentral.
CGAACGAGAAAGCCGCAAGGCAAGUAAAGUGGCGUACGGGUGAGUAACACGUGGAUGAUCUGCCUUUUAGUGGGGAAUACCGCUGGGAAACCGGUGACAAUACCGCAUAAGCUCGGAAGAGGAAAGACGCAAGUCGCUGAAAGAGGAGUCCGCGGCUGAUUAGCUAGAUGGCGGGGUAACGGCCCACCAUGGCGAAGAUCGGUAGCCGGCCUGAGAGGGCACACGGCCACACUGGCACUGAAACACGGGCCAGACUCCUACGGGAGGCAGCAGUGGGGAAUCUUGCACAAUGGGGGAAACCCUGAUGCAGCGACGCCGCGUGAGCGAUGAAGCCCUUCGGGGUGUAAAGCUCUUUCGACGGGAACGAUAAUGACGGUACCCGAAGAAGAAGCUGCGGCUAACUACGUGCCAGCAGCCGCGGUAAUACGUAGGCAGCAAGCGUUGUUCGGAAUUACUGGGCGUAAAGAGUGUGUAGGCGGUGUUCUAAGUCUGUUGUGAAAUCUCCCGGCUCAACUGGGAGGGUGCGGCGGAGACUGGAAUGCUAGAGUAUGGGAGAGGUAAGCGGAAUUCCUGGUGUAGCGGUGAAAUGCGUAGAUAUCAGGAGGAACACCUGUGGUGUAGACAGCUUACUGGACCAUGACUGACGCUGAGACACGAAAGCGUGGGUAGCAAACAGGAUUAGAUACCCUGGUAGUCCACGCCCUAAACGAUGCAUACUUGGUGUGAGCCAUUCAUUUGGUUCGUGCCGGAGCUAACGCGUUAAGUAUG